GCCCACCUUGUGCCAUUUUGCCUAUGAGUUUUGAAGAUACCAAGGACCAGCUGCUUCUGUGAACUUCAUUGACAACUGGAAGGACUUGACAGUGAGAAUCUACCUUAUGGUCUUCUCUUCCUCCAGGCAAGAAGAUUGAAAUUGAUAAUUUUCAUCUUCAGAAAUCUACCCCAGUUUUCUGCCUCUGUUGAGACUUUGUACAACGCCUGGAAUCUGUACCAGCAUUGUAGGUACAAACCGGAGCAGCGGCGCGCUCGGGAGCCGGGUGAGCAGAGGGAAGCAACUCCACACACACCUAAGGGGAAGUUCGCCGGGAUGCGAAGCAGCAAAAGUAAACCGGUUUACUUUGCAGAGGGAAAUCUCUGCUUGGCACCUUUCCCCGCAGCUAAGCCGAGCGGCUCCG
RNAcentral lists this long non-coding RNA (403 nucleotides) under Strigops habroptila (Kakapo). RNAcentral describes it as "lncRNA (ENSSHBG00005005276.1)". Lineage: Eukaryota; Metazoa; Chordata; Aves; Psittaciformes; Psittacidae. The record is from RNAcentral.